AUUAAACCGCACGCCGCACCCCUUGUAGUGCUCCCCCGCCAAUUCCUUUAAGUUUCAGCCUUGCGACCAUACUCCCCAGGUGGCGAGCUUGCACCUUCGUUAUGAUACGACAGAAACACUAAGUUUGUGUCAUAUCUAGCUCGCAGUGUUUACGGCUAGGACUACACGGGUAUCUAAUCCGUUUUGCUCCCCUAGCUUUCGUCCCUCACAGUCGAAUUUGUUCUAGUAUGCCCCCUCCGGCACAGGUAGUCUUCUUGGGAUUAUAACAUUUUACCGCUCCCCCAAAAAUACUGCAUACUCCUCCCAAUUCCAAGUUCUACAGUGUUUUUUGCGAAUGUUGCGUUAAGCACAACAAUUUUACAAAAAAUUUAUAGAACCUGCUACGGACGCUUUAGACCGAAUAAACGUGAUCCCCACUUGUGGCGCUGGGGUUACCGCGGCGGCUGGCACCAGUCUUACCCACCACUUAUUCUCCAAAGUAUUUACCUUUGGCAAAAGCCUAUGUAAAACAUAAGCACUUAGGAUUCCCUUCUCACGCUUGCGCACAUUGGAAAGGUUUCGCGCCUGCUGCACCCCGUAGGGCUGGGACCAGUAUCUCAGUGUCCCUCUCCGGGCUAUCUCUUUCAAGACCCGUAUCGAUCUCAGGUAUGGUGGUCCAUUACACCGCCAUCUGCCUAAUCGAGUGCCGUCUCAUCCUUAAGUGAUUGCUCUUUAAGAAAAAAUUCAUUCCAGAAUUUUUUUCCUAUCGGACAUUAACCUCAGUUUCCCAAGGGUAUUUCCGUCUUAAGGGCAGAUUAACGACAUGUUACUGAGCAGUUUGCCUCUCUUGCGAGAUGACUUGCAUGGCUUAGUCGAAUCCUAAUAGCAGCGAUCUCCGGCAGGAUCAACCGGAA
This 893-nucleotide ribosomal RNA is filed under the name uncultured archaeon. RNAcentral describes it as "16S ribosomal RNA". The record is from RNAcentral.